RNAcentral lists this small RNA (53 nucleotides) under Rhodothalassium salexigens DSM 2132. RNAcentral describes it as "ffh sRNA". It matches the Rfam family "ffh sRNA". The record is from Rfam by way of RNAcentral. Lineage: Bacteria; Pseudomonadati; Pseudomonadota; Alphaproteobacteria; Rhodothalassiales; Rhodothalassiaceae.
GCGCCCGAGGGUGCCCACCAGUCAGCGAGGUUUCGCCCACUGGUGCCAUUGGU